This 465-nucleotide ribosomal RNA is filed under the name uncultured bacterium. RNAcentral describes it as "partial 16S ribosomal RNA". It matches the Rfam family "Bacterial small subunit ribosomal RNA", at positions 338 to 795 of the family's 1533-position model. The record is from RNAcentral.
CCUACGGGUGGCAGCAGUAGGGAAUCUUCCACAAUGGGCGAAAGCCUGAUGGAGCAACGCCGCGUGAGUGAAGAAGGUCUUCGGAUCGUAAAACUCUGUUGUUAGAGAAGAAAGUGUGUGAGAGUAACUGUUAACGCCUCGACGGUAUCUAACCAGAAAGCCACGGCUAACUACGUGCCAGCAGCCGCGGUAAUACGUAGGUGGCAAGCGUUUUCCGGAUUUAUUGGGCGUAAAGGGAGCGCAGGCGGUCUUUUAAGUCUGAUGUGAAAGCCUCCGGCUUAACCGGGGAGGUGCAUUGGAAACUGGGAGACUUGAGUGCAGAAGAGGAGAGUGGAACUCCAUGUGUAGCGGUGAAAUGCGUAGAUAUAUGGAGGAACACCAGUGGCGAAGGCGACUCUCUGGUCUGUAACUGACGCUGAGGUUCGAAAGCGUGGGUAGCAAACAGGAUUAGAUACCCUUGUAGUC